CCAAAAACAAUGGCUUCCCAAUUUUAUACAAGGUGAGAAUAGACUUCAUGGUCCGGGCCCAAAAAUUAUAAGGCAAAUCGUAGUUCUCUGUUGAACUGGCUAUUGUGGAGUGAUAAAAUUCAGGUCUCUUGCCAUAAAAUUCAUUAGUGAAUUUGGAUGUUAACAAAGGCUAGGACGGUAGCCAAAGCAGCAGACUGAAUGGAGACUACUUGUGGUGGCAUAUUGCUUCAGAGUGAAUUUUAAAGUUUCAUACCGCAUGAAUUUUUAGUAGUUUUGUGUAUUGCUUUAUCAGGACCACUACUGUGGUGGCAUGAAUUUUUUUUUUUAAAAAUAUAUGUAAGUGACUCUUUCUGUCAUUAUGCAGUCAAUUUGGAAAAAUGAUUGCUUAUAGUGUCCAAAUUGACUACCAGAGUGAUUUGGGGCAAAACAUUGUUCAAAUUCAAAUAUUUAUCUUGCUUCA
Mangifera indica (mango) is the source of this 460-nucleotide long non-coding RNA. RefSeq lists it as uncharacterized. NCBI's taxonomy places the organism in Eukaryota, Viridiplantae, Streptophyta, Magnoliopsida, Sapindales, Anacardiaceae. The transcript has 2 exons. The record is from RefSeq and is a predicted model, not a curated record.